Dermochelys coriacea (leatherback sea turtle) is the source of this 415-nucleotide long non-coding RNA. RefSeq lists it as uncharacterized. Lineage: Eukaryota; Metazoa; Chordata; Testudines; Dermochelyidae. The transcript is spliced from 3 exons. The record is from RefSeq and is a predicted model, not a curated record.
GGGCAGGCAGGAAGGCUGCUGCCAAAGGAUCCUGGGGUCGGGACCCAGAGUAGAGUGUGGGCCUGGGUCCCCUCCUUGCACUUCCACCUGGCCAUUAGGAGUGGCCAUCACAGACUGCACCAGACCCCUGCCAAAAGGGGUUAGACUUUGGGAUGUGGUUGGCCAUUGUGGCUGGGGCAAAGAGAAGGACUGCAGAUAACACCAAACUCCCAGAAGGGGGUGAGACCGGAGCAGUGGGCAUUGCUGGAGGGCAGUGUCCUGAAGAGGACGUCGCAAGCUGGGAGCAACGUGGGUUGAGAUGCUAAUCUAGGGCGAGAGAUGGACAGGACACCACUGGCAGAGGGUGCUCUGCAUGAACUGAGCUAAUUCCCAGAGUGAACAGCAGGAGGCGCUGUGGUGAGAGAGCAGGAAAUGA